GGCUGCAUCACUUCGAAACACAUGUUCUCAUACGAUCACCUAAGUUAAGCAAUGUCGAGCCUGUCCAGUACCUAGUUGGAUGACCACUUGUGAAUAGCGGAUACUGUCAG
Molecule: non-coding RNA, 110 nt
Organism: Acanthosepion pharaonis
Lineage: Eukaryota; Metazoa; Mollusca; Cephalopoda; Sepiida; Sepiidae
Source: the annotation of a GenBank genome assembly